GACGAACGCUGGCGGCGUGCUUAACACAUGCAAGUCGAACGGGCCUGUCUUCUUUUUUGGGGGUGGGUUGAGUGGCGAACGGGUGAGUAUCACGUGAGUAACCUGCCCUUCGGUCCUGGAUAACCGCUUGAAAGGGCGGCUAAUACGGGGUGGUCCGGUUGGUCCGCAUGGGCUGGUCGGGAUAGAUUCACUGUUUUUGGUGUUUCGGCGGGGGAUGGGCUCGCGGCCUAUCAGCUUGUUGGUGGGGUGAUGGCCUACCAAGGCGGUGACGGGUAGCCGGCCUGAGAGGGUGGGCGGCCACACUGGGACUGAGAUACGGCCCAGACUCCUGCGGGAGGCAGCAGUGGGGGGUAUUGCACAAUGGGCGGAAGCCUGAUGCAGCGACGUCGCGUGAGGGAUGGAGGCCCUCGGGUUGUGAACCUCUGUUUCCGGUGGUGAAGGCCCUGUCCGUGUGGUGGGGUUGACGGUAGCCGGGGAUGAAGCGCCGGCUAACUACGUG
RNAcentral lists this ribosomal RNA (499 nucleotides) under uncultured bacterium. RNAcentral describes it as "partial 16S ribosomal RNA". It matches the Rfam family "Bacterial small subunit ribosomal RNA", at positions 28 to 507 of the family's 1533-position model. The record is from RNAcentral.